GAUGAACGCUGGCGGCGUGCCUAAUACAUGCAAGUCGAGCGAACAGACGAGGAGCUUGCUCCUCUGACGUUAGCGGCGGACGGGUGAGUAACACGUGGAUAACCUACCUAUAAGACUGGGAUAACUUCGGGAAACCGGAGCUAAUACCGGAUAAUAUAUUGAACCGCAUGGUUCAAUAGUGAAAGACGGUUUUGCUGUCACUUAUAGAUGGAUCCGCGCCGCAUUAGCUAGUUGGUAAGGUAACGGCUUACCAAGGCAACGAUGCGUAGCCGACCUGAGAGGGUGAUCGGCCACGCUGGGACUGAGACACGGUCCAGACUCCGACGGGGGGCAGCAGUAGGGACUCUUCCGCAAUGGGCGAAGGCCUGACGGAGCAACGCCGCGUGAGUGAUGAAGGUCUUCGGAUCGUAAAACUCUGUUAUUAGGGAAGAACAAAUGUGUAAGUAACUAUGCACGUCUUGACGGUCCCUAAUCAGAAAGCCACGGCUAACUACG
Molecule: ribosomal RNA, 495 nt
Filed under: uncultured bacterium
Lineage: Bacteria
Description: partial 16S ribosomal RNA
Rfam family: Bacterial small subunit ribosomal RNA
Source: RNAcentral